RNAcentral lists this long non-coding RNA (677 nucleotides) under Homo sapiens (human). RNAcentral's name for it is "HSALNT0150245". Lineage: Eukaryota; Metazoa; Chordata; Mammalia; Primates; Hominidae. The record is from RNAcentral.
GGGACAGACGUAAACGUGUUCAAUACCAUCCUUACCACCAGAAGCUAUCCACAACUUCGCAGAGUGUUUCAGAAAUACACCAAGUACAGUAAGCAUGACAUGAACAAAGUUCUGGACCUGGAGUUGAAAGGUGACAUUGAGAAAUGCCUCACAGCUAUCGUGCGCCACAAGCAAACCAGCUUUCUUUGCAGAGAAGCUUCAUCAAGCCAUGAAAGGUGUUGGAACUCGCCAUAAGGCAUUGAUCAGGAUUAUGGUUUCCCGUUCUGAAAUUGACAUGAAUGAUAUCAAAGCAUUCUAUCAGAAGAUGUAUGGUAUCUCCCUUUGCCAAGCCAUCCUGGAUGAAACCAAAGGAGAUUAUGAGAAAAUCCUGGUGGCUCUUUGUGGAGGAAACUAAACAUUCCCUUGAUGGUCUCAAGCUAUGAUCAGAAGACUUUAAUUAUAUAUUUUCAUCCUAUAAGCUUAAAUAGGAAAGUUUCUUCAACAGGAUUACAGUGUAGCUACCUACAUGCUGAAAAAUAUAGCCUUUAAAUCAUUUUUAUAUUAUAACUCUGUAUAAUAGAGAUAAGUCCAUUUUUUAAAAAUGUUUUCCCCAAACCAUAAAACCCUAUACAAGUUGUUCUAGUAACAAUACAUGAGAAAGAUGUCUAUGUAGCUGAAAAUAAAAUGACGUCACAAGA